Molecule: ribosomal RNA, 253 nt
Filed under: uncultured bacterium
Lineage: Bacteria
Description: partial 16S ribosomal RNA
Rfam family: Bacterial small subunit ribosomal RNA
Source: RNAcentral
UACGUAGGGACCGAGCGUUGUCCGGAUUCAUUGGGCGUAAAGAGCUCGUAGGCGGCUGUUCAAGUCGAAUGUGAAAACUCGGAGCUCAACUCCGAGCCUGCGUUCGAUACUGGACGGCUAGAGUCUGGUAGGGGGAUCUGGAAUUCCUGGUGUAGCGGUGAAAUGCGCAGAUAUCAGGAGGAACACCGGUGGCGAAGGCGGGAUCCUGGGCCAGUACUGACGCUGAGGAGCGAAAGCGUGGGGAGCAAACAGG